AACGAACGCUGGCGGCAUGCCUAACACAUGCAAGUCGAACGAGACCUUCGGGUCUAGUGGCGCACGGGUGCGUAACGCGUGGGAACCUGCCCUUAGGUUCGGAAUAACUCCCCGAAAGGGGUGCUAAUACCGGAUAAUGUCUUCGGACCAAAGAUUUAUCGCCUUUGGAUGGGCCCGCGUUGGAUUAGCUAGUUGGUAGGGGAAAAGCCUACCAAGGCGACGAUCCAUAGCUGGUCUGAGAGGAUGAUCAGCCACACUGGGACUGAGACACGGCCCAGACUCCUACGGGAGGCAGCAGUGGGGAAUAUUGGACAAUGGGCGAAAGCCUGAUCCAGCAAUGCCGCGUGAGUGAUGAAGGCGUUAGGGUUGUAAAGCUCUUUUACCCGGGAUGAUAAUGACAGUACCGGGAGAAUAAGCUCCGGCUAACUCCGUG
RNAcentral lists this ribosomal RNA (433 nucleotides) under uncultured bacterium. Its description in RNAcentral is "partial 16S ribosomal RNA". It matches the Rfam family "Bacterial small subunit ribosomal RNA", at positions 29 to 507 of the family's 1533-position model. The record is from RNAcentral.